AUGGCUCAGUGGCUCAGAGCACUGGCUUGUCUUCCAAAGUCCUGGGUUCAAUUCCCAGU
This 59-nucleotide transfer RNA is filed under the name Neotoma lepida (desert woodrat). Lineage: Eukaryota; Metazoa; Chordata; Mammalia; Rodentia; Cricetidae. The record is from Rfam by way of RNAcentral.